RNAcentral lists this ribosomal RNA (469 nucleotides) under uncultured bacterium. RNAcentral describes it as "partial 16S ribosomal RNA". It matches the Rfam family "Bacterial small subunit ribosomal RNA", at positions 28 to 507 of the family's 1533-position model. The record is from RNAcentral.
GACGAACGCUGGCGGCGUGCUUAACACAUGCAAGUCGAACGAUGAUCUCCCGCUUGCGGGGGUGAUUAGUGGCGAACGGGUGAGUAAUACGUGAGUAACCUGCCCUUGACUCUGGGAUAAGCCUGGGAAACCGGGUCUAAUACUGGAUACUACUUCCUGCCGCAUGGUGGGGGGUGGAAAGGGUUUUACUGGUUUUGGAUGGGCUCACGGCCUAUCAGCUUGUUGGUGGAGUAAUGGCUCACCAAGGCGACGACGGGUAGCCGGCCUGAGAGGGUGACCGGCCACACUGGGACUGAGACACGGCCCAGACUCCUACGGGAGGCAGCAGUGGGGAAUAUUGCACAAUGGGCGGAAGCCUGAUGCAGCGACGCCGCGUGAGGGAUGACGGCCUUCGGGUUGGAAACCUCGUUCAGCAGGGAAGAAGCCACAAGUGACGGUACCUGCAGAAGAAGCGCCGGCUAACUACGUG